GCGCCCUUCGUCUAGAGGCCUAGGACACCGCCCUUUCACGGCGGUAACAGGGGUUCGAAUCCCCUAGGGCGCACCA
This 76-nucleotide transfer RNA is filed under the name Hyphomicrobiales bacterium. Its description in RNAcentral is "tRNA-Glu". It matches the Rfam family "tRNA". From Rfam's summary of the family: Transfer RNA (tRNA) molecules are approximately 80 nucleotides in length. The record is from RNAcentral. Lineage: Bacteria; Pseudomonadati; Pseudomonadota; Alphaproteobacteria; Hyphomicrobiales. RNAcentral also lists the same sequence under 2 other names.